AGUUUCUUUAAUAGGUCCUACGUCAAAAGUAAUAUUACGAGAUCAGUAUGCAAAGUACACGUAUUGGGAUGUAUUGAGUUUGUGGGAUGGGACUUGAUUAAUCUUUAUUUUGUAACAAAUGAUAGGUUGGACAAUAAAUCUCAAAUAAUUGCUGGAAUUGCUUAUGCGUGUUGAAGAGGGUUGAUCGUUGGAAAGUUUCUAA
RNAcentral lists this long non-coding RNA (202 nucleotides) under Helianthus annuus (common sunflower). The record is from RNAcentral. Lineage: Eukaryota; Viridiplantae; Streptophyta; Magnoliopsida; Asterales; Asteraceae.